RNAcentral lists this transfer RNA (61 nucleotides) under Argas ricei. RNAcentral's name for it is "tRNA-Ala". The record is from RNAcentral. Lineage: Eukaryota; Metazoa; Arthropoda; Arachnida; Ixodida; Argasidae.
AGAAUAGUAUUUAAAAUCUAUAAAAUCUAACUUGCUCUUAGAAGUUGCUUAUGCCUAUUCU